GCAAGAGAACAAAAAAUUUCGGUUGCUGAUGGGAGUCUUUGAUGAGCAAUAGAAAACAAAAGGAGAGAAUUCGGCAGAGCUACUUUUGUAACUUGGGACUCUUGUUUUCGGUGGGGACCACGAGAGGAGAAAAGGCUUUUCUUCAUUUGGCCUUUAAGAGAAGUAACGUACAGAGAUGGGAAACAAGAAGCAAUUCGGCAGGACCCACCUUGUGGACUUGGUUUCUCUCAAUUCGGCAGAGUUCCCUUCUGGGACUUUGACUCUAAAUUUCAGCGGGGACCACGGAGAGAAAGCAUUAGGGAUUAGUCAUUUUGGCUUUAAAAAGGAAGAAACGUACAGGCGGCUAGGUAUAAUAGUUUUAGCUUAGUUUUUAGGAUAGUUUUAGUUUUUUCGUUUCUUUCUUGGCUCUUUUGAUGGCCUGGACCUCAGUGGAAUUACUUGAAGAUUUUCUCAUGAGGUGUGGCUAAGUUUGUCUAGUCAAGAACAACGGAGGAUUUGGUUCUACUAAAUUUGUGAGAUCGAAUUAGUUUUUAUUUAUUCUCAUUAUUCACUGGUAUUUGUCUGUCUUCUGCUUUAUGUUCAUAUGGUUGUUUUAUUAUUCGAUUAUCCAGGGCCCGGAUUCUAGAUUAAUUCAAUAACCUGAAGCCAAUUAGGGUAGUUAAAUCCGUAAUUGUUUAAUUAUUCUAAACUGGUGGCAACUGGCAUGAUUGGGUUUGUGUCAGGGAGAUAGGCAGGCUAACUUAAAGAGACCCUCAUAGCGUGUUGAUUGGUUAGAAUUAGGCUCUUCUAAUUAUUCAUGCAAUUAGGGAAUUGAACUUCUAUGGUCGUACCUAGGGUUAUUUCCUGAUUAGAGAAAUAGUCAACGGUCGUACCUUGGCUAUCGACAAGUUGAGGAAGAGUUGGUUGUUUAUCGCGUGUAUGACAACUAUAACUAAUUUAUCAGAUAGUAACUGGAAUAAUCCUUGCAUCUGUGAUCAAAUUAAGUGAACCAUCUCCGAAGUUGUCUCUUGGCUAGAGUUCGUCCUUUAUUAUUUUUAUUGUGAUAAUUAGUUAUUUGAGUUGUAGUUAUUUUAUUUUAAUUAAUUUAUUCCAAGUAAUUUAGUUACUAUCAUUUUCAAAACCCCCCAUAUCUGGAACUUGAGAAGAAAUUAAAUUAUUCCCAGUCCCUGUGGAUUCGACCCUACUUACCGCUAUAUACAGAAUUUGUAUUUUAUUUAAGCAGGCAUUUAUUAUUGCACAGGUUUGACGCCUGUCAAUUUUUGACGCCGUUGCCGGGGACUGGUGCCAGAUUAAUUUGUUUCUUUUUGAGUUCAUCUUGUUUUUAUUUUUUUUAUUUUUUAUUUAUUUUUCUCUUAUUUUUUAUUUAUUAUAUUUUAUGGCUUCUAACACUCCGUAUUUUGGUGAUAGACUGGAUUUUGUUUCCGAGGAAGGCGAUGAGACUAGUUUUUUUGCUAAGUUUGCAUAUUCAGAGGCAGUAAACUCUAUUAGAGAAAGAAUGGCUGCUGCAACCUGUAAAAUUUGUUAUGCCAGGGAUCAUUCGACCGGUAUGUGCCCCGAAUAUCAAGAUAAUCUGAGUGUCCCACUCAAUAAUUAUGGAGAUUUUUCACCAUGGUCUCAAACGUGGUAUAACCCUAAUCCAAACGGGUAUGAUCAAGGAUGGUGGGAUAACUCCAGUUAUAAUUAUACAACAGGGCCACUAGAUUUUCAACAGCUAGAGUCUCAAGAACCGUCAUCCAUGUCAGGUAUGUCUCUUGAAGAAAUGGUUGAAUUAAUAGCUACUAACACAUAUCAAAUUCAACAGGAGGUACAUCAACUUCAACAGGAGACACAAAAGAUGAGUGAAGAGAUGAAAGAAGCAAGGCUUGAAUGGACAUUUAAAACGAGCAAUUUGAUUUCUCCAGUUUACGAAGAAUUGUCCUCACCGACUAUUAUCGACCAUGAGGAAGAUGAGAGUGCAAUUAUUCUGACAAAUGACAUGGUACUGCAAGAGUCUCGAGAAAAAAAAUCUAAAGAUGUAGUUGAAAAGAAAGUUGAAGAGCACGAAUUGAGACCCCAACAUCAAAUGGUUCAAGUGAAUGAAUCCAGUGAACUAUCUCCAAAUGCGGUGACAUCUCCUCCAUUCCUUGAUCAAUAUUUUCCUGACUCUUAUUCUUUAAUUCCUGUUAGUGAGAUUGAUUUUAUUAUACCAGACGAUUUUGAAUUUCAUGCCAGGAAUAAAUUAAGAGUCAUGAUGGCAAAAUAUCUCAAACCAGCAAGUGCUUGUGAUGGAGGAGUGAAUGAAGAUUUAAGGUCAUUACUUGGUUGUUUGGUGCCAUUUACUAGUCCAUGGAAGACCGUAACUCGUGUGCUCAAAGAUUACUCCAUCUAUGAAGGUUACCAGGAUCACAUUGAAGAUGAAGCAUUGAAACGAGCCACAAGAUUUUAUCCUCCAUGAGCAAAACAUGAUAAUGUCUAGCCAAAGACAUUAAAGAAAGGCGCUACUUGGGAGGCAACCCAAGACUAUUUCUUUCAAUUUUCAUUCAUUUUUGAAGUUCUAGUUAAGUGUUAGUGUCAAUUAAUAGUUUGAUGUUUGGUGACAGGGAAUUAGCAGUUAGACGUGCCCACGCCAGGUGGUCACGCCUGAGGGAAAAGAAAUUUUCGUUCAGGAUCUGCGGACUCUAUAGCAGUUAGACGUGCCCACGCCAGGUGGUCACGCCUGAGGGAAAGAAAUUUUCGUUCAGGAUCUGCGGACUCUAUAGCAGUUAGACGUGCCCACGCCUAAGCCAGAGGUUCCUUGAAAAAAAAAAAAAUCAAAAAUUCAAAAUAAAAACAUUUUCCGUUUUACACCUUCAGUUUUGGUUCUCACAAUUCGAGUUUUGAAAUUUGAGUGUGCAAUAAAAAAAUAAAAAAAAAAACUAUUUUUGCCCUUUUUUCUUUCUUCUUUCUUUCUUUCUUCUUCUUCUUUUUUCUUUCUUCCUUCUCCCCUGCUCUCUCUCUGUUGUCCGAAAGCCACUCGCGCCGCCCACCUCACUCACGCCGCCACCUCGCGUCUCGCGCAAAGGACCAGCCAGCCAUCCACUUCGCACCUCGCCGACCCUCGAUGCUUCCACUCCAGGCCGCUCGCCGCUGCUGAAGCUCCAUCGCCGCCGCCGCUGCCCAUCUUCCUUCCACACGCAGCUCCUUCCUCGCGCAGCCACAAGCCCACAGGCGCGCGGCAGCAGCCUCUGUCCCGCCGCCCACUUGCCCGCGUGACCGUCACUGCCUUCCACCACCAGCUCGAUCUCACCGCAGCAGCGCCGCCCAUCUCCCUCGCGCCGCCAUCACAGCUCACCCGCCUCUCCACCGCCGCCGCUGCUGAAGUUCCCUCCGCUGUCUGCGCGCGCCACUCUAGCUCGCUGGUCCCUCUCUGCUCGCAUAGCCAACUCCGCCGCAGCUCCAUCGCGAGCCAACGCCGCCACCGAAGCACUUGGACGCUGCCAACAGCCCCAGCCAACCUCGCACGCUACUCUCUUCGGUGGAGGUAUUUGGAAUUUAUUUCCCAAUUUCUUAAUAUUCAUUGGUGCUGUCUGGUUUCUCAAUAAUUGGUAUUGUUGGCCGUUGGGGGUUAUUUCUUCAAUCGUGUGGUAAACCAGUGGUAUUGGUUGUGAUAUUUGACCCGGAUCUUGUUCAUUCCUAGUUUGCCAUACUCGUGAGAAUAUUUGUUGAACUUUUGGGUACAUUUGUCGAGUUUUUGGGUGGGCUGGAUUUGUGAAAUUGUCUUUUGCUAAUUGGGAGGCAGCUUUGCUUGUGUUUUGAUUGUUGCGAUUCUCAAUUGUGAGCAGUGUUAAUUGUUAUUUUGGUUUGUCGGUGGCCUGAUAUUGGUGGUGUGUGAUUUCUCUUCCAUAGUUUACUACACCAGUGGUACUGGUGGGGUGAUUGGACCUCAAUUGGGUACUUCUAUUUGGUUGGCUAAAUGAUUAUUGUCCAAGCCCUGAGCUGUUAUCUUUGAAAUUGCUGAUUUUGGGUUGCGACUUCUACUGGCCAACUGGAGCCAUUUGUUGAGUAUUUGGGUGAGCUGAAAUAUUGUUUGUUAAAUUGGGAGGCUUCUAUACCCUCUACAUUGCUUAUUCCAGUUCAGUGCAUCUAGUUGAAAUGCUGGGGGUUUGAGAUUCAGUUGUUAAUGUCAUAGUUUUCCACUACUAUUGCUUGACUUGUUCACUUCUUGAGGCUCACUGCUGGGGACAUUUGUUCGAACUUUUGGGGGGAAUUGUUGAAGUUCUUGGGUGGGCUGGAAUUUUAACAAUUGUCUGUGAUAUUUUGGGAAGAAUCUCGGCCAGUGUUGUGCUUGUUGAAAUUUUGGUUGAUUUAAUUCGGCAACUGCAUUCCUUGUUGGCAUUAGUAGUUUUUAAUCGAGUUUUUGAGGACAUUCUGGAUGUUGGUUUAUAUUGCUGAUUUGGAGGAGCAGUGUCUGUGAUUUUGGUCUGAUCAUUUGUGCAAUUUGUUGACUCAUUUGAGGACUUAUUUGUUUCCUGGGUUUGUUUAUUGACUUCGGUGGACUGGGUUCCCACCUACGGUUCCUCUACUUGCUCUAUUCAUUGGAAUUCCAGUCGCCUGUUGCUCUUCUUUAGAGGUUUAGAAUCUUUCUUGUGACUAGAUUAACACUUGGGGUUAUUGCUUUACUACUGAUCUGCUUUGCUAUAGCAAUCUCAUUGAUUUUGAAUUGCGAUUUGCACCAAUGGUAAGGGUGCGAGUACUUGUUAACUCUAUUUGGUUAGAGAUCUGAUUGACCGCCAAGGGCUUGCGACUGCGCUGCUAUUACUAAAGUUCUGAACUGAUAUUGCUGGAUUUAGCACAUUAUUGGAGACGUUGUUGAGAUUUUGGGUGGACAGAGCUUUGCAUUUGCUGGUUGACUUGAUGUCUCACCACAUCGGUGCCCCUCCGCUGUUCCCGCCGACCCCUUAGCCACUCGAGAGGGAAGUUUCGUUGUCCUUUUCACUUUAAUUGCUUUAUUUCCUCCAUUGAGGACAAUGUAGGAUCUAGGUGUGGGGGGGGCAGCUGCGCUAGUUUUUCUGUUUUUUAGUUUUUUUAGAUGUUUUUGCUUUCUUUUUAAUUUGCUAUUUGUCCACCUCUCGUUCAAUUUCUUUCUUUCUUUCUAGUGACUGGCUCGUAAGUGCAUGCCAAGGUUUGAUGUUGGAUUAUUGCCUCUAUUUCUACUUUUGCCAAGUUUUUAUAAUAAAAAUGUAUCGAGUUAAUGUGGCUGAAUCCAAAAACAUCUCUUUGGUGAAUAUCGAUGAUUGUUUCACUCUUAUAAUUUUUGGUUAACUUUCCUAGGCAUAGGGAAUGAUUAUUGGCAUUUUUAUGUGAAUUGGUUCGGUUAUUAACUUUAGUUCUCCAUGUUUGAAAAUGAGUCUAGCUGAUGCAAGUUUUCUUUUGGUUCUUGUGUUAUAUUGAGUUUUUGUGAUUUUUAGCUAUGAAUAAACUUGACUGUACUCCGCUAGUCUUUACUACUGAGUAACCGGGGAUCUGCACCUAAAAGUGUUGAUUCUCGCAUCAAAAGGUAGUAAUUCCUAUGAGUACGUGGUCACGUGGCGAUAGAAGCUGAGUAACCGGGAUCCUUCAUCUGGCCAAUGUUGGAGUUCGCGUCAAAAGGCUCUAAUGGCUAGCGACUAAGUCUUUUGUUACUAUUGAGAAAAGAAAAAAAAAAGAGAAAGAGAAGAAAAAAAUGUAUUAGGGAAAGAAAAAAGUGAAAGUUAAAAAAAAAAAUGUGAAAAAAAAGUGAAUGUUGUGUUAGUGUAUAAUAAAAGUCAGCUUGCCGAUUUAUGGAUUUAAUGUUGAGAUUUUGGUUAAUAGUUGGACCAUUUACUGAUAAAUAUUAUGUGUCAUUCCUUUUUCUUAGAUUAGUUAACCUGGAAUUAGAGGAGUUUGUGGUUUAGAAGCUAACCGGAGUGAUGUUUCUUGGACUUGACCAUUGAUGCUUGAUUAUUAUUUUCCUUGGUAUCUUGGCAAUAGGGUAGAUGGAGCAAUAACCAUUUUCAAAUUUUGGUGUUAUUUGUCGUCCCAUGCUUGAGGGCAAGCAUGAUUUAGGUGUGGGGGGAAUUGAUAGGGUGUUAAUUGUUAGUAAUUUUAUUGUUAAUUUUCCCUUGUCCCUACCAAAUAUUGUUUUAAAUUGUUAAUAUAUACUUAUAUUUGGUAUUUGGACCUAUCUACAGGAAGUUGAACUGACAAAUGCUAAUAAGGAGAUUUUACUGAGAAAAAUUCUCCACACAUUAGAGCCUCCAGCGGAUUUACAAGUUGGGCCCACAUGGUUCUGCAAGAGAACAAAAAAUUUCGGUUGCUGAUGGGAGUCUUUGAUGAGCAAUAGAAAACAAAAGGAGAGAAUUCGGCAGAGCUACUUUUGUAACUUGGGACUCUUGUUUUCGGUGGGGACCACGAGAGGAGAAAAGGCUUUUCUUCAUUUGGCCUUUAAGAGAAGUAACGUACAGAGAUGGGAAACAAGAAGCAAUUCGGCAGGACCCACCUUGUGGACUUGGUUUCUCUCAAUUCGGCAGAGUUCCCUUCUGGGACUUUGACUCUAAAUUUCGGCGGGGACCACGGAGAGAAAGCAUUAGGGAUUAGUCAUUUUGGCUUUAAAAAGGAAGAAACGUACAGGCGGCUAGGUAUAAUAGUUUUAGCUUAGUUUUUAGGAUAGUUUUAGUUUUUUCGUUUCUUUCUUGGCUCUUUUGAUGGCCUGGACCUCAGUGGAAUUACUUGAAGAUUUUCUCAUGAGGUGUGGCUAAGUUUGUCUAGUCAAGAACAACGGAGGAUUUGGUUCUACUAAAUUUGUGAGAUCGAAUUAGUUUUUAUUUAUUCCCAUUAUUCACUGGUAUUUGUCUGUCUUCUGCUUUAUGUUCAUAUGGUUGUUUUAUUAUUCGAUUAUCCAGGGCCCGGAUUCUAGAUUAAUUCAAUAACCUGAAGCCAAUUAGGGUAGUUAAAUCCGUAAUUGUUUAAUUAUUCUAAACUGGUGGCAACUGGCAUGAUUGGGUUUGUGUCAGGGAGAUAGGCAGGCUAACUUAAAGAGACCCUCAUAGCGUGUUGAUUGGUUAGAAUUAGGCUCUUCUAAUUAUUCAUGCAAUUAGGGAAUUGAACUUCUAUGGUCGUACCUAGGGUUAUUUCCUGAUUAGAGAAAUAGUCAACGGUCGUACCUUGGCUAUCGACAAGUUGAGGAAGAGUUGGUUGUUUAUCGCGUGUAUGACAACUAUAACUAAUUUAUCAGAUAGUAACUGGAAUAAUCCUUGCAUCUGUGAUCAAAUUAAGUGAACCAUCUCCGAAGUUGUCUCUUGGCUAGAGUUCGUCCAUUAUUAUUUUUAUUGUGAUAAUUAGUUAUUUGAGUUGUAGUUAUUUUAUUUUAAUUAAUUUAUUCCAAGUAAUUUAGUUACUAUCAUUUUCAAAACCCCCCAUA
Molecule: long non-coding RNA, 7396 nt
Filed under: Coffea arabica (coffee)
Lineage: Eukaryota; Viridiplantae; Streptophyta; Magnoliopsida; Gentianales; Rubiaceae
Description: long non-coding RNA (CARA_LNC002463)
Source: RNAcentral